UUUUGCAUUUAAUUUGCGUGCAUAAAAACGGAAUAAACGUAUGAAAAUUCUAUUUUUUAAUCAUAUCUCCUUUACCAUUUGUCUAAGAUGGGCAGUUCUACUCUACUCAUUUUGCUCACUUUAUUCUGCGUUUAUAUUUACACCAGUACAGUAUAUGCUUUGCCAUACUAUAGAGAGAGCAGUAUAAUGGCUAAAAUGGCGAAAGGAACUGGACAUGCUAUGGUCGAUUUUGCUGUGGAUACAGUUUCUCAUAUCUUGAAAUGAUGCGUGGAAAAUCCAUCAACUGCACAAAAUGAAUUGGGAACGAAUCUGAAGUAUUAAGUGCAACACUUCCUGCGCAAACGUCCUUUAUAAUUCUGUUCUUCUUUAUCCGCAAUCUUUAAUGCCCAAAUAAAAUAAAAUAAAAAUAUUAAUUUUUUU
This is a long non-coding RNA of Argiope bruennichi, 420 nucleotides long. RefSeq lists it as uncharacterized. The record is from RefSeq and is a predicted model, not a curated record. The transcript is spliced from 2 exons. NCBI's taxonomy places the organism in Eukaryota, Metazoa, Arthropoda, Arachnida, Araneae, Araneidae.